RNAcentral lists this microRNA (19 nucleotides) under Corchorus olitorius. Its description in RNAcentral is "ppy-miR-12". Lineage: Eukaryota; Viridiplantae; Streptophyta; Magnoliopsida; Malvales; Malvaceae. The record is from RNAcentral.
GUGGAAAAGGCUUUUGCUU